Podarcis lilfordi (Lilford's wall lizard) is the source of this 21735-nucleotide non-coding RNA. Lineage: Eukaryota; Metazoa; Chordata; Lepidosauria; Squamata; Lacertidae. The record is from the annotation of a GenBank genome assembly.
UGUCAAGAUGGAUCUCCAUAACAGGUGAUGAAUAGUUUUAUUUGGGGGAUAUAUUAACUUUUACUAUUGAGGGAAAGUUUUAGAUUGGUUUGCCACUUUGUACCCUAUCAAGUUGAGGCUAAUAGAUAUACAUUCACAACCCUGUACCCAUCAGAUAAUCAACUUUAUGUGUGACUUUGGGACUGAUUCAUACAACCACAUUUCCUUUCUCCACUCUAUAGCAGCCUUUUCUCUGUAUUUGAAAAAAUAACCAAGAAGGAGAAGAUAAGGAACCAGGAAUAAGGUCUGGAUAAGUAUGGUGAGGACCUAAGCUUUACAAGUGAGGGGGCUAGGAAGAUGGCUUUGUGGUCCAGCAUAGGAAUGAUGGGUGCUUCAUAUUAUUGAAUACCUGUUCCACAAAGAAGACUUUGAGCUCUUUGCUCUCCUACUUUCAAGGCUCACCAGGUUCUGGGAGAUGGAGGGUCUGGUAUGCUUUCUAGUGACAACGUAUCAGCCAGCUGCUUCUCCUGCUCAGCCUGCUCCUCCUCUCCCAUGAUUUCCCAACUUUCCCCCUCAUCUGCCUCUGAACUGUGACCUUCCGCAAACCCCUGCUGUAAAUCUAUACUGUCUUCCUCUUCCUCCUCCUUGGAAGGAUAAGGAUGGGAAGGCAGUCUCCACCACUCUUCCUCCUCUGCCCUGCCCCUGACAGCAUGUGUACUUCUUUAUGUAAAUCUACCAUAUAAUAAUAAUAAAAAUCAGGAUUAAGGUGUUUUCUCCGGACAGUGGAAGGCAUGUGUACUGUGUCCCAUUAAUGAAGUGCUGGUGGUGUGGGGAACAUAAAGUGGGGGGUUGAAGAGUGUCAGUUGAGGGGAAUGACAAAUGUCCCUAUUUUUAUGUCUUGGAGGGUAGCACAUAUUUACUCACUAAACAAAUUCAAAAAUGCUUAUGUGGAAGUAAAUUUAGUGGUAAGGUAAAGGACCCCUGAUGGUUAAGUCCAGUCAAAUUUGACUAUGGGAUGUGACACUCAUCUCUGUUUUCAGGAUGAGGGAGCUGGUGUUUGUCCGCAGACGGCUUUCCGUGAUGGAAACCAGAGUGCACGGAAACACAGUUUACCUUCCCAUCGCAGUGGUACAUAUUUAUCUACUUGCACUGGUAUGCUUUCAAACUGUUAGGUUGGCAGGAGCUGAGACAGAACAAUGGGAGCUCACCCCAUCAUGGGGAUUCAAACCGCUGACCUUCUGAUCAGCAAGCCCAAGAGGCUCAGUGGUUUAGACCACAGCGCCACCGGCUCCCAUGUUCCUCAAAGUAAGCUCCAUCGAGAAUGGUGGCACUUACUUCACAUUAAAUAUAUACAGGAUUAGGUUGGUCAGUAGCAGUGCAAUGCUGUAACUGCCUACUCGGUGAUCCUGGGCUAUUUAUUUCCAGGCCUGAUGUUUCCCACUCUUCUUGGAGUAGGGGGAAAUAAAGCCAUCAUAGUGAUUGGGCAAAUAUGACUGCCCUGAACUGCUGGGAUUUAGAACAAAACUGCCAAUCAGCUUUCAGAAGAAGUAGCUUGUUUUUGCCAGUAUCCCAAGGGCAUUGCUGCAGCUGUUAGUUGCAUCCCUCUGCUGAUCCCAUGGCUUCUCCAAGGAGUCUUUCUUCUCCCAGCUGUAAAGAGUGAGAGAAAAAUCUCAAGGCAUCAUUUCCUGCCGGAUAAAAUAGUAAUUUACAAAGGAGAAUCGGAAGGCACCUGAAGAGCGAUUGAUAGAGAAAAUUAUUUAUCACAGCCUUAGAAUAUGUCUGAAGUCUCUGCCUGAUUCCCCAAGCAUCUGAAAAUAUUAGUCUGGCACUUGAGGUUCCUCAUCCUUUGACAGCUCAGUGUCUGUUUAUGCAUAAUAAGUCUUCCUUGUGCUGUAUGUUCACCUUAAGUAGGGAGAAAACUCGAUCCAGGCAUGCAUCAUGAUUUGCUUCACCAGGGACAUCAUCUUCUUCUUUUUUAACAGUCACAUUUAUUUAAUGUGUGUGAGUCAGAGACUCACAGUGUAACUGUGCAGAAUGAAAGUCCUAUUCCCAUAUCUCCUAUAGGUGCCUAUAAAAGUAUAGAGAUCAUAUACUGUACGAGAAUUUCCCCCAUCUGGUUCAGUACUGAAAAAAAUAAAUGGGAGGAAAGAAAAGUAGAUAACUCAUGGACCAAUUAAUAGAAAUGUGCCCCCCCCCCCGGUGUUAUCAAAGAUACAGCAGUGAACAUUAUAUAGCAAAAUCGGAUACAAUGCAAAAUAUAUGCUGAGAAAGCAAUGCAAAAUAGAUUGAAGGCUAUGUACAUGUGCACCACACUCAAAGCAUUUGCAAGGCGUACUAGAAGCUCAAAUAUAUCUGACUUACCUACCUGCCAGCAUGCCCAGUGGUCAGGGGUGAUGGGACUCAUAGGCCAGCAAUACCUAGAGAGCUACAGGUAAGCCACCCCUGAUUUAGUAGUUGUGCAUACACUUUGCAUGCAGGGAGUUUCUGGUAUGUGUCGGAAAGGAUCUGUAAUGGUGUAUGGGCAAUCUAUCCAGAAGAUAAAUUUUAUUUUGAAGAGUUAGUGAUCUGACAUGGUUGCCCUCUUCCUGCUUUUCUUCCUGCCCCCUCUCCUUGUCUCUUAAGUUCUUUGAUGGCAUGAGAACAGCCUAUAAUGUCCUAAUCAGUUAGGAGGAAGUAAUAGUGGUGAGUACCUUAUUCUAUGUUGGACAUUAUUUCGAGAAAGUGAGGCAUUGGGAGGGGGUGGCUAAUGAAUAAUCUGCAUGCAGCCAGUAAUGAAGGAUCUGCAAGUAGCCAGUUGGAUAAGCCACACAAGCUAGCUAGCUAUAAAUCAGAUGGUUUGGGGCAGAAUUGGGAGAAGCUUGUGCACGGGCUGAUGGCUGCGGGGCCGUGCAAACUUAGGCUACCUGGAGGAGUCACUUUGCCACUUCUUGAGGGCUUCCAAAUAAUAAAAAAUAAAUUUUAUUUAUACCCCACCCUCCCCAGCCAAGGCCAGGUUCAGGGCGGCUAACAACCAAUAAUAAAAAAAGUUGAAUGAAUACAACUUAAAAACAAGAUUAAAAUACAACAUUAAAACAUUAAAACAUUAGAAUGCAGCUUCAUCACAGGAGGAGAAAGGAAAAAAAGAAAGAGGGGGAGGGAAUCAAAUUGACUCCAAGCCAAAGGCCAGGUGGAAAUUAGAUCACUGGGGGAGGAAGGUGGUUGCGGAGGGUGCAGUGCACACCAGGUGUCAGCCGUGAGGGUGGGUGACAUUGCUGCACCACCCCCUGCUUGCUGCAUGGGUGGCAACCCCGGACGCUCAUCGCUUUGAUUAUGAGAGCAAAAAAUAAACAUCCAGUAGUCUAGAUAGAAAGAACUGGGUAGUCAGGCUGAUGUUUACUUGGUUGCAGAGGUUUACUGGCCAUUGCUGUUGGCAUGGAGAUAGUCUAGGUUGAAUGCAAACAGGCCAUUCUGAUGUCAUGUGUGAUGUCACAAAGAGGAUCUGCUUUAAGUCUUGGUAAAACCAGAAACAGUUAACAGACUGCAGCUCAGUAUUGUCAAGAUGGAUCUCCAUAACAGUUGAUGAAUAGUUUUAUUUGGGGGAUAUAUUAACUUUUACUAUUGAGGGAAAGUUUUAGAUUGGUUUGCCAGUUUGUACCCCAUCAGGUUGAGGCCAAUAGAUAUACAUUCACAACCCUGUACCCAUCAAAUAAUCAACUUUAUGUGUGACUUUGGGACUGAUUCAUACAGCCACAUUUCCUUUCCCCACUCUAUAGCAGCCUUUUCUCUGUAUUUGAAAAAAUAACCAAGAAGGAGAAGAUAAGGAACCAGGAUUAGGAUUUGGAUGAGUAGCAGCUAAGCUUUACAGGUGAGGGGGCUAGGAAGAGGGCUUUGUGGUCCAGCAUAGGAAUGAUGGGUGCUUCAUAUUAUUGAAUUCCUGUUCCACAAAGAAGACUUAGAGCUCAUUGCUCUCCAACUUUCAAGGCUCGCCAGGUUCUGGGAGAUGGAGGGUCUGGUAUGCUUUCUAGUGACAACGGGCGACAGGCCGCUAGGAACGAUGCUGCCACGAGUUUCUGGCGGUGCCCUCCCCCCCCCGGCCGUUCAUUAGGUGGGCGGGUAGCAGCGCCCCUCCUGGCGCUCAUCAUGCAAGCAGCAGGCGUCUAGCCCCAGCCCACGGGCCGGCUAGCCCCACCCCUGUGCCGCUCUGGGUGCUGGGGCAGGUAUCUCUGCCCUUGUCCAAAUGGCAGAUUGAAGUGCUUGCUUGGUAUGUAUAUAAUGGUUUGCUGCUUAGAAUAACAUCUUUAAUCUUCUCACUCACUUGUGUUUUAUAUUACUUCUGAAUCUCUUUUUAAAAGAACCACCUUGCAUUUGGCAAGACAAAGGGUAUGCUAAGGAAGACCUCCGUCUGUGGCUUUGGACAACCAUCUGCCCGAUUUCAUUUCAUUGAUUUCAUUGAUUCAGCCAGCGUGGUGUAAUAGUAAAGAGCGGUGGACUUGUAAUCUGGUGAACCGGGUUUGAUUCUCUGCUCCUCCACAUGCAGCUGCUGGGUGACCUUGGGCAAGUCAUACUUCUUCUGAAGUCUCUUAGCCUCACUCACCUCACAGGGUGUUUGUUGUGGGGGAGGAAGGGAAAGGAGAUUGUUAGCUGCAUGGAUCUGCCUCUAGGUUUGUGGCUUAGCUGUUCUCUUUCAGAGAUACCAUUUGAUUUAUUUGGUCAAUGUGGUCCCAGUUUUAAGCAGCCAUGGCCAUGCACUUCAUUGCAAUGUCACUGGGACAAUCACAUGUGGCCUUUACCUGUAAGGUCGACGCUCAUGCAGAGAAGCAUCUCUGCAGCAGUGCUGCCAAAGAGCAAACUUGGUGGUAGUCUUGUGUGAUUCCAGCCGCUUGCAAAUGAGCUGCCAACUAGUUUCAACUGGCCCUCCGGCUAUUUUAAUGACAUCCAGCCAAGCAUUUUAAGAUUUCCACACAGUGGCAGCAAUUAGCAGUGACUCCAAAUUGAUAAUGGAUGGUUUCAAACAUGCACUCCCUAAUAAUAAAUAAUAACAUUUUGCCUUCUUGUGUGCUUUACAUUUCUCUCCUCAUGCCCAACGUUCCCUUUGUGCAUGUGAUAAUUUAUUGCAUAUUUCAAAACAUUCAAAUUUCAUCUCUCUUGAAAUCAGUCCCAGAGCAAUAAUAAAAAAAAAAAGGUUCCAUUUUUAUGCGUAAAAUACAUGCAGCAAUGAAAGGCAUGUUAUGAAUCCAGGAGGUUGGAAACCAGGAGAUAAUGAGAUCUUGGGUAGAAACAACAAGAGCUAAAGGGGAUCCGUGCAUCUAGGAGUAAUGAAAUUAAUCGUAUUGCACAGAAACUUGGAGAAAAUUGCCACAAACAGAUCCAAGAGACAUUGACUUUAAGCAGAGAGGUCUCAAACUUUGUUGCAGCAAGAUGCUUUAAGAGGGGGAAAUGCACUUUUUCCUAAGCCAAUUGUAAAUAAAGGAAGACAAGAAAAAGCAACAACGAUUUCUUUUGGCAGAUGGGAAUCUAUUACCAGGAAUAGAGCCAGACCAAUAAAGCUCCAAAAUGAUGGGCCAAAACAAAAUGAUCAGCCAGGACCAGAAGGAUGGUCGCCAAAAUGCCCGGAGUAACAACUGAAUGGGUAAAUUUAAUCCUCGGCAUCUCCCGAAGAGGCCAAAUAGAUACAAAAUAGAGAUCCUCACCCGUCAAAAGUAGAAAAUAACUAAUUUCAGAGAAGAGUAGAAGGGUGUAAUGUUUUAGACAUAGGCAUUAGAAGGACAGGAUUAGAAAUUUAUAUAUUUCUGAGUCUGGACUCAGCUACCUUAGUCAAAAAACAACAUUUAAAUAUGCAACACCAGAUGCCGCUGUAGAGCAAAAAACAUUUUAUGUGAUUUUACAUAGAGUUUUUUCUUUUGUUAUAACGAUUUAAUUAAUGACUUAUUUAUAGUGUCGUCGUCCCCCCCCCCCCCCGUGUAUAGAUCCAGCCUCUGUCUCUUUAUGUGUGUCUCAUUUUCCUCUCUCUCUCUCUCUCUCUCUCUCAUAUAUCCUGUCUCUUUGAGAACAUGUGUGCAAGGCAAGAACAUGGUAUCUAGCAGAGCAGUCUAUCAUGGGAAAGGGGAUCUAUAAUGGGGCCAUUUUGUCCUUAAUUCAAUAAAGAAUUUAAGACUAAGCACUCUCAGAAUCCUCUUUCUAGGUGUGACGCACCUCCUGGCUUGAAGUGGUAUCUCUUUAUAUAUUUUUUAAAACCUCAACAGAAGACUGAGCUUCUAAUACUGUACAUCGUAACUCACCGGUGGGAUAGGAAAUAAAACAAAAGCCUAUAGGAAAUAAGUUGUGGAUUUGUAUAGCUAAGCAGCAUUCAGCUGGUUUAUAUUGUAAAUUUCCAAUGUUGUUUUAUCUCCUUGCUAUGUUCAUACACAGAUAUUACUUUUUUAUGUCCCCCAUACUUUAUUGUUUGCUUUUUUUCAUUACUAAAGAUUUCUGUGGAAGAUUUGAUAAAAUUCUCUGCUGCUUUUUUUUAUAAUAAAAUAUCUGCCUGUGGUUUUAAGAUUACAUUUAAUACUUAUUUCCUUGUGCUGUUUAUUGAAUAUAUCCAAACUCACUUGGAAGUGGGAAAAUGGAAGCAUUUGAUAUGAGAAAUCUCAUAGUAAGAGAGCACUCAAAACAUUGUAAAUAAAUAGGCCACACGGCCGAUCGCUUUGCUGUUGGCUCCAUAUUUGUAGUGUGUUAUACAGAUUGUCAUCGUUGAGUGUCAGAAUAUACCCCCCCCCCCGAUGCAGCUUUAAAAUCAUGUCACAGGCUCAAACGUUCACAUAGUGGGGCACAAUUUGAGCAGUGAUUUUUGCAGCUGAGAAGACAAUGCAGUGCAAAUGACCCAAAACAUUAUUGUGCGAUGUCAGUUGCCUUUGCAAAAGAAAUAUCCCCGGAGCACUGUACCCAUUGUUCAUGCAUUGUUAUUAAAACUAAAACUGAACGGAAGACUGCAACAAAUAAGUGCAUGCACGUGUGAGCGCACAUGCGCAGAGCUUGAAGGAAGUACACAGGCACAUCUGUCAGAAGUCCCAGUUCCCGUCUUGAUAACACAGCAAGCAUAGUUAAUUAAAAAGGAAGAUUUAAUACAAAAACAAACAGAGUUCUCCGGAUGGCUCUAACAAGCCACCAGUCUCAUCAAUCAUGAUGACCCUUCUGAAGACUCCUUCCGGUUACAGAAGAUACUGAACUUUUUCACUUUGCGCCUUUUGCCUUGUUCCAUGGUGCAUGGAAAGUACUAUACUGGAAAAGGUGCUAUGAACGGGAAUACUCAACACAGUGACAUUUUAUUUAAUGUCUCACUUCUUGCAAUCUAUUUUGCAUACCUCCUUUGAAAAAUGUGUGUCCUAGUUAAGCUAGGGUUGAUAUUUGAAAUGGAUGGUGGUGAUCAAUUUUUGUCCACCAACCUAAAUUCCAAUAUCUGAAUUUUCAAAGAGAGAUUCAUAGCCCUAAACAUUUUGCGAAUCUUUGUACUUUUGUCCAUUUAGUGUAUUUAUUUUUCCCAAUUUGAACUAUAAAAUGGUGAUUUUUCUUGAGUCAAAUGAGAGUACCCCUAAACAUUUUUUAGAAAAAAGCACUGACUCUAAUGAACUUUGGACAUGGAUGUUAGCUGCAGCUAGGAUUUCAAUAACCCAGCAAUGGAAAAUCUAGAGGCUCCAGAAUGCUUUUAUGUCAUCUGAUGGGGUCUUAUGUCAUCUGGUGGGGUCUUAUUUCCAUUUUUUUAAAAACUUUGCUGCUGAUUGCUCACCAUCCAUGCCAGUUCGGAAAAUAAGGAUUUCUUUAUUUAAGUUGAUGUGCCACCAUUUUCCCCCUCUUAUUACCUUUCAUCUAUUUCCUUUUUAUAUGGUACUAUGUAAAAUCCUGCUACCACACUUUUGGGUUGUUAGUAAUAGUCAUUAGGUUGCAAUGCAAUUUAGAAAGGACAAAAAUGAAGAGGAAGGGGAAAGCUGUCUUCAGCAUAACAGCAGAAAGGUCAAAUAUAAAUCUAACAAACAAAUGAUAGAGUAUUAUCUUAAAUAUGUGCAGCAGUGUUCAUUUUGAGGUCUCCGAUUUUACUCUUGAUAUCCCUCCUCACAGAAAUACCACAUACGGUACAUUUUCCAUGUCCUUCCCUUUUCACAAAAUUAUUAUCCUAAAUGUGUGUAGAAACAUAAGAAAGGCCUUGCUGCAGCCGACAAAAACUUCAUUUGGGUCAGAAUCACUCUUUUACUGUGGAUAACCAGAUGGCCAUGGGAAGCCCACAAGUUAAUAAUAAUAAUAAUAAUAAUAAUAAUAAUAAUAAUAAUAAUUUGUACCCCACCCAUUUUGCUGGGUUUCCUCAGCCACUCUGGGUGGCUCCCAACAGAAUGGUGGUGUUGAUGACGUUGUUGUUAUCAUUAUUAUUAUUAAAGCGAUAAAACAUCAAAGAUGAAAAAAUUCCCUAAACAGGGCUGCAACAGUACUCUUCCAUCUUCAGCUCCCCAGCAAAUGCAUUUCAAAAUUAUCAAAGGGGAAAUUAAAUUGUUGCAGAAAAUGGUUCCCUUAAACAAAAUAAGUGGGUCUGCCAAGGUCGGGCACCAAUUAACAAUUAACAACAACAACAAGGCCUAGAACUUGGGUCUCUUGUCAUCACUAUUUGCCUCAGUUCCUCAGACUUCACCCUGAUAAAAUUAGUUCAGGCAAGUGGAUCUUCCCUACAUGUUCCACUUGGAAGAAAGGGGGCAUCAAAUUCAAUCAGCUUCUCUAAGUCUCCUGCACUAAAUUUCAUUUUGAUACCUCAUUGUCCAACACUAACUGUUAUGGACAGUCUAAAAACAUAAGAAGAGCCUGCUGGGUCAGGCCAAUGGCCAAUCCAAAUGAGGAUCCACUUUUCACAGUGGCCAACCAAAUGUCUGCGGGAAACUUUAAAGCAGGAUCUGAGCACAAGAUCAUUUUCUUCCUUUUGUAGUUUCCAGCUGCUGGUCUUCAGAAGCAUUAUGAGCCUAACCAUCAUGGAUGGGAGCCAUUCAUAGCCUUUGCUGUCAUGACUUCAUUAAUUCUUUUUUAUGCAUGAAUUAGGCCCAAGUUUUGGGUUCAGCUUAGCAUUGUUCAUGCCUGUCAAUGAUGAGUAUUAAGUUUAGAAUGGAUGGUGCACCGAGUCAUCUAAGGAAUGAUAUAAAUACACCUAUGACAGAAAACAGAAUUUCCCUUCCUCCUGGAUUAUGCAGUGACGUCUAUAUGAGCGGAUUUUAAAUAUUCAAAUGUUUCUUUGAUUUACUGCUUUCUGAACUUUUUAAAAUGAAAUAUGAAUGUGCUUUUAUCUGUCACCCCAAUAGUGUCAACAUUUAUUUUUGAUAUUUAUUUACAUCAAUAUUUCUAUUCUUCCUUGGAUAACAUUUCACUGCCUUUUGUUGUUUAUAGACCCUUCUUUGAACAAGGAUUGCAUCUGUUGGAACUCACAAUAAGUUAUAUAUCAGGAUUGGACAUAAAACGAGUCCUCUCAAUCCUUCAGCCAUUAACUUUGUCUACAUCAGGCUUCCUCAACCUCGGCCCUUCAGAUUUCUUUUGGCCUACAACUCCCAUGAUCCCUAGCUAGCAGGACCAGUGGUCAGGGAUGAUGGGAAUUGUAGUCUCAAAACAUCUGGAGGACUGAGGUUGAGGAAACCUGGUCUAUACCUAUUUUCAUAUUGUUUCUUAUCUAAUACUGCUGCUCAACAUAUUUUGCAGCCAUACAGGGGAAACUCUAACUGGAGUUGGUGUAACAAGUAGGCCUGGAUUGAGUCUGGUGCCAUCAAGUAAUGACAGUAAUGCCAGCUUGGGAUCUGGUGGGUCUCUGGUUGAUUCAACACCUCCCCUGCCUAUGGAACACCCCAUUUGGGAAAAUUAUGUGGGGUACUGCCAAUGAGAAUUGUGUUUGUGGCUGAAAUAGAGAGUUCUUCGCAGGAGGUGUGAUGUUGGCAUCCCUCUACAGGUGGAGAGUGGUGGACCUGUUUUGGUCCACCCUGAGGGACAUGUGUGCCUCAUCCAGCCCUGCCUCUGAUGCAUAAUAGAGAAGAACUUUGAAUGCAGCUUAACACUGUUAGAUGCAAUUUCUUUUGAAAUACGUCUUAUUUUGAUUUCCUUCCAGCUAAUGCCAAAAUUAGUGUUUGCUCUCAUGUUUCGGGUUGUUUUUUUUGUUGUUGUUUCUAAAAUGUGUUCUGUUUUGCAAAGAAGAACUGUUUUGCUAAAGGCAUUACAGUAGAUAUUACAACUAAUAGUGAAAUGGCUUUCUUAUUAAUUCUGAGAUGUCCUCAUUACAUUUCCUGGAUAUUUAAAAGGCAGCGAGGGAUUUCAUUAUGCAGACGGAGCUUCUAGCUGCUCAGGUGAUGGUUCUUUGAAUUAGAUAUUUGAAUUUUGUUUGGGGAGUUGAAUAAUGUGUCUUACCCUUCUAAUUAUAUACCAAUAAAUCAAGCCUGGCAGAUUCUCAAUUCUUGUCAUGUCAGGAACAAUUCUGGAAAAUAUUAAGGGAGAAAGGCAAAUAUCUCGGCACUUCUUUAGUGAUUUAGAAAGAGUGAAAACAAGAUAUAAUUCCUCACUGCAUGUUUUUAUUAAUAUGUGUUUUUUUCUGUGCUGUUCACCAAUUUAGGACAUGAGAUUUGACUUUCACUUGUGCACUGUGCUGACAUAACCCUACCCAUCAGCAUCAUGGUAGCUGACUGCUGCCAAAUCCCAGACAACCUGUGAGCUGGAGUCUGCAAUCAUGUAUCCACUCCUACAGGAAGAUAUGGCCCUCUAGAUUGGUAUUGAAUGGCAACUUCGAUCAGUUCCAGCUAGUAAGGGAAAUGGUCAAGGAUGGAGGACGGUGGAGCCCAGCAACACCUAGAGGGACUCAGGUGUGGUUAUGUGGGAUGGAUAGUAGGAUAGAUUGAUUAAAUAUUAUCCUUCCUUCACUCACGCUAGUGAGUCAUGUAGCAAAGCAGAUUCCCCUCAAUACAGCAGGAAGCUAGUUUGCAGAUUCAUUCGAAUCUCUUUACUUAAGCAAUCCAGUCUGGCUUGAUGAGAAUGGAUUAUUCCUGGUGUCCCCUUUAAUCCCUCUUAAAAGAAUAAAGACAGAAGAGUCUUUCCUUAAAAGUAACAAGAAGUUUACUCACAUUCAGUUCUCACAGUAUGACCCCUGAAGGCAGACUUUAGCUUGUAGUUACACAACAUAGUGUAAGUUCAUCCCUUAUGGGGAUUGAGCCCAUGUACUGCUGGAAUACAUUAAGAGAACAGCAUCAAGAGAACAAAAUGGCUGCAGGAGAGCAACAUGGCAUCAAGAGAGAAAGAUGGCUGUGCUCUUUUAUGGAGUCAGCCAGGGUCACACCCAUCCCCCUGGUCACAUGCAGGGGGAGGACACUCCAGACCAGUGGAACAGGAAGCUAUACUGACUGGAGUAACAUCCCCAUGCCUGUGCCCACUCUAGGGAAACAAGGAAUGUUGUAUUUGACUGCUCCAAUGGAUUACAGCCCACAUCAGGUUCUCCACCUGUGCAUUCCUUGUGGGAUAAAUCAGCCUCGUAUAACCAACAUACUUCACUCUAAUUCAUGCAUGGAGGAGUUAAGACCAUAGAGCAAGUGUCCUGCCAAGGCUUAGCUAGAUCACUUCUCCUCAGCUUGGGAAGAAGGGUUACCAAGCACAUUGUCUUCUCCCUUCCACCAUGUGAAUUCUACCAGUGAGGAGGUCUAAGCUGGAUGCUGCAUAUGGUUUAAGCAAGCCAUAUUUGUGUUUCCAUGCAAAUAAUCCAGAAAUGUGUUUUGGAACCUAAGUUAUAGUGCCUAUCUUUUCUUGCUGUAUGGAAAAGGGCAUGGAUCUAAAAAGACACGAAUCUGACUACUGAAGAGGUUGUAAGUAAACAAUUUUAACUUACCAAACAGGUAACUAUUUAUAGGGGACUGGGGAACUUCGGAAGACUUUUAAAAUGUCCCCUUCUAACAGUCUAUAUUUCCAUGCUUUGCUUUGCUGCAUAUUUUACAAUUUUGAAUCUCUGUUGGAGGUCCCUGACCAAAGAGUACUUGCCCCUGAAACUGGAUAUAGGCAUCCAGGGAAUUCUUCUUUUAUUUUACCAUAUCUAUUUUAUCUUUUAACUCAAUACUUAAAUUCCUACACUCCUAGGAUGUGUGUGUGUGUUUGCUGCGCCAACCCGCAGUCAGGCAACAGGAUGCUGAAGACAGGACUUGUGAAUGCUGGAAAUUGAAACUGCCCCUUCCAUGUUAAUUUCACUUGGCAUCAAAGUUGCAUUUACUACUGAUUUCCUUCCUUUCUUUUUGGCCCCUGAUAUACCUUCAUCUGAGCCCGGUGUACACUGAUAUUAUAGUCAACAUUUUCUAUAUAAGAUUUGGCUUUGUAUAAUGUAAGGAAAUACUGUAUGUCUGAAAAGCAGGCCUCAAACCAACAAUACAAAGGCAACUUCUCCUUCACUUCAAUGGUGCAACAUGACUGUGAAAGUAAGUGCUCAUUGAUUUUACAAAAUGAACAAAAGCCAUUUAAAUAGCUUAGAUUGAGGUAGGCAGCUUGACAUUAAGAAAUGCCUCUAACUUAUUUCGCUUAAUACCAGGGGCAUCCUUCAAAUGUAUAAGUCAUGAAAACACAAGACAUCCAGAGAUCAAUAUGUAAUUGUUUACCAUCCUUGAAGGACUGAAGAAUUAAUUUAAUGGUGAAUGUUAACAUAACGUCAAUUGAUUCCGUGAAGAAAUAUUAGAAGGAUUUGUGAACUAUAGUAACAGAGUUGCACAUUUUGGACCACAAGAUUUUGGGUGGGUGUUUGUUUUUUGUUUUUUGUUUGCUGUGUGUGUGUUUUAAAUCCCCCUUUUUAUAUAUCUAUGACUAGCCAUAACAAUAAAGCUUUAUCCAAACUCUUCUAGUCUCCCUUGAAAUUACUCAGAUGUUUCACCUGAUGAAGAACCUGUAAAGUCUGCAAAAUUUCAUUGGCAACUUGUAAUAGGCAGUUGUGGAAUGCAGUUUAAUAUAAGAAUCUUGAAUGUGGUGCUAAAACAGGUGUUAGCUUGAGAAGAAAUUAAGUAAACUGAUACUUUUGGCGGUUUUCACAGGAUCUACUACAGAAAAUUACACAAAGAGGUAACUUAGCCCACAAGACCAUAUUCUGUUAUCUUUCACUGUUUGUGCUCCACUUCCUAGUCCUGUCAUGCAAAUGUUUGCAUGUCCCAUUAAAGAGGCAGAAGCAUUUGCAUGGUCUUCAUGUACUCUGCCAUUUUCUGCCUAUUGUCCUGUCUUUCUCAUACCUCCAUUGUAAUGGUUAUACAGCAAACUAAAGUUGGUGACCCUGAACCUAUGAAAAGGUGAGUAGCAAAUAAAAUCCACACGUCUCCUUUCUCAUACAUUCUCAUGUUUUGUGUAUGUCAAGUGGGUGUUCAUGUUCACAAAAACAAGUGUGAGAGAAACCAAUGACCUAUAAUCUGGAAGCUAAGUUCUCUCUACUGAUGUGUUAAGUCUGCUUACAUUAUUUGGUGGGUGGCAUUGUGACUGGGCCCCAAGCCUUGUGUAACCCAGCCGAGGGUUGGAGAAGAAGAAGAAGAAGAGCAGUUUGGAUUUGAUAUCCUGCUUUAUCACUACCCAAAGGAGUCUUAAAGCGGCUAACAUUCUCCUUUCCCUUCCUCCCCCACAACAAACACUCUGUGAGGUGAGUGGGGCUAAGAGUCUUUGGAGAGGUGUGACUAGCCCAAGGUCACCCAGCAGCUGCAUGUGGAGGAGCGGAGACGCGAACCUGGUUCCCGAGAUUACGAGACUACUGCUCUUACCCACUACACCACACUGGCUCUCGAGCCGAGGGUUGGAGACUGGCGUGCUUCCCACUGUCACCUCCCUGCACUGUCGGCGCUGGGCGGGGCCCUUGCCAACCAAUCAGUGCCAACAGAGGGGUGGUCUGCAGGGAAUUUAACCUCCAGUGCAGAAGGGAGGCCAUACUCUCACACUGUUCAUCAGAACUCCCACACUCCUUACCCUUUUUUCUGCUUUGCUGCGUUACAACCUUUCUAUGGACUAAUCGUCUGUUGCCAUAUUGUUGGGACUGGGCAGGAUUUUUUUUCCCUUGGCAACUUGGCUCCACCAUUUGGUUUUCACCUACCUCAUAGCAAUCGCCACAACUUUGUGAGGUUAGACAUUGUGGAAGCCUUUGUUUGGAUGGAGGAGAGUUUGUAGUCUCCACCUGCCCCUCCUCAUUAAAGGUAUCCUGUUAAAGGGAUCCGGGGUUGUGGACCCUGUCCGAUGCCCGGACUUGGGCUAGGGCCAUGGCAUAACCCUAAUGGGAACCCCUCAGGGUGCCCCUAUUUGAUGUAAGGAUCUUAGGGCGGCUCCUAUUGGUGGUUUACCCUUAGUUGGACUCCCAGCAGGUGGGCAGGAGUCAAGAUAUAGCCAGGCUUCACCCAAUGUCUAAGCCAAACUGCUCACAUCUGUAACCAAUAAAGUUGUGGCCCAUUUGAACCCAUAAACUAAAAUCUGCUUGUUUGUGUGUUUUAUUUAUCCACCAGGGGACCACAGGUCACAGGGCCUUGGCACGCAAAUGUAACACAGCAAGCAGCUCACAAAUAAUCAGGUUCUGAGUCUGUUCAGGUGAUCACCUUUCACAUGGUUAGAGCUGUAUGAAGGUGAGAGUGGUAUAUGAUCAUUGGCCUUAACCCGUCCAUCACAUUCCUGUCAUUUGGCUCAAUCACCUCUGUCGGGUGUCAGAGGGGUAACAUCUUCUGCAGGUAGGUUGUUCCACUUGCGUACAUUUCCUCCAUGGUGUAGAUUGUGCGGGCUUCUGAAUUGUGUGGGGAGUCUCCAUGAGCAGGCUGCCUGCUGUAGACAUUGCUCCUCCAAGAUAUGGAAGGUGUAAGGCUUCGGGGAAGUAUCUUCCUCACUUCCUUUGGCCAUGGAUCAGCAGAACAAAACAAAAAUAGUCUCCUACUAGUUAAAGAGAAUUUAAUGUUCACAGCGAAAGAACAAAGAAUCAAUUCUUGGAAGAAAGGUGCUCCCGAUUAAGGUUUCCACCCACUUCCCCCUGAGCCACCCCCAUCACUUCCUCGUCUGGCAACCUGAUCUCUCAUCCAUUUGGCCUUCUGUGUAGCUACCAUAUCUGCUCUCCUUGACCUUGGACUGAGCGUUUGGACACGUUCCAGCAAAAGGGAGCCUGUUAAUUCUCUCUCUCCCUGUUCUUCUCCUAGCUGUUCCCCACUCAUUUUUGCCCAACUGUUGUCUUCUGAACUAUGUCCCCCUGCAAGCCACUGCUCCAAAUCUAUACAGCUCCACUUCUCCUGGGCAACUUCAGGAUCCUGGUCAGGAGCAGGGGUAGGGGUAGGCCUCAUCAGAGGCCUCAUCAGAGUAGCUCUUCUCAACCUGGUCUCUGACACAUAGGGAGAGGAACUAAUGAGUGCGCAUUCUCGCUCACACCUUCUGUUUGCAAAGGGUAAAAUGCCUGAGUGCAGCUCUGUAUGAACAUGAGUUGGAACAUUGUAUGAGUUGGAAAAUUGGUUCAUUUAGUCCAUUGCUAGCUGUACUGACUGACAGCAGAGAACAGUUCUAGCCUUUCUACCGGAGAUCAUUUUAAUUGGAAACGCCAAAGACUGGAUGCAGAAAUGUGCAUUUGCUCUGCCUGAACCGGAUCCUUCCCUGACAAAUCAUGCAAUUUCAUUUGAUUUUUGUAACUCUGUUCAGCUGGGUUGUUUCCAAUCAGAAAUGUCAUGGCCUCUUGUAAAUAGUGGAAUUAACUAAUGCCAUGGGCAUCCUGAGGUCCGGAUGAAAAGUUGACAUUGUAAGCCAACUGUGAUCUAGCCACUAUGUUCAUCUAUAUUUCAGGGGGAGGGUAGAAUUUUAAAAUUACUUUGUGAGCUAUAAAUUCAAGGUAUUACUCACCAAAGUGAAAUCUGAGAACUUCUAAAAAAAGUGGAAAUGGCCUGGCAAAACGAAGCUUUUAUUGAAAAGGGAGAUGUACGACCAAGAUAUUCAUUAACAGGGUGAGGUUUUAUGGAGAAGAAAUAAUGUAGGAUCAGAGGGCUGGAAAGCCAAUUAGAGAAUCCAAGGGUGAAAAGCCAAACCUUGAAGAAAGAAGUGAUAAUCUUAGUCAGCUAGAGAAAGGAUUAGCAUGGAGAGGUGAUAAUAACAGUUUUGUGGCUGAGAAGGGGAAAAAAUCUGAACUGAAAAGUGAAGCUCAGAAAAAGGUGGGGGGGAGAAAGAUUGGGGGGAAAGUUAGAUUGUAUUCAGUUUUAAUUACUGAAUUACUGGGGUGUUCAGAACCCUUUCCUACUUUUCUAUCUGCUCAAUUCAUCAUAAUUUUCUCGGAAGGAGAGUUUGCAGCUGAGAAGUGGUGCCUCAGAUUCAGCCUUUGAGCCUGCAAUCAUAUACUUCAGAGUAAGCCCAAUUGAACUCAAUGAGUUUUAUUUCUGAGUACUCGCGUCCAGGAUUGCACUGUAUGGCAUUUAUCUCUGUCCGAUUUAAGGACAGCAGGAAUCCCAUUCUAAGCUCACUUAUCUAUUUUCCCCUCACUUAAUAUGUGCAUCGAAGCAAGGAAAAUGUGGUUUUGUGAUUAAAAGUAGGAAGCUUUGUCCCAGAGAGGGUUUUUUGUUCUAAUCCUGUCAUCUUUUUUAAGGGCUGUGGCAGAGUGGUAGAUGCCAGGUUUUGCAUGAAGAAAAUCGAAGGUUCAUUUCUUGGCUCCUUCAGUGCAUAUAACAAGGCUGAGAGAGUCAACUAUCUGAGGCAAUGAAGAACUGUUGCCAGUCAGAGUAUGCAUCCUAGAUCCAGGUGCAUUCAGAAUCAGACAGCUUCAUGUACAGGUCAGUCUCAAUGCGUGAGUUAUAAAAACUGUACAGAUGUUCAUGCUAGGACGUUUGUAAUGAUGAUAGCUACAUCCUCUAUUUCAACAUACUUUGGUGCACAAGUUGACCUAGAGAAGAAAUGUACUCAAUAUCUACAAGCUAAAAACAUAACAGAGCCAGUUGGUUGUCUCUGUGCCCAAUCACAGAACCUGCCAAUUUUUCCUCAGCCCCACAAUUUUGGCGGCGAAUUUCCCCCCUCAUUAACAGCAUUGUCAAACUGUAAAUAGCCAGUGUGGUUCAGUUUUUGCAUUCUGCUUGUAUUCUAAUCGAUUCACCCAUUUGCUUUCCAGAAUGUACGGUAGUACCAGCGUUGUGCAAUAUGUAGAUAUCUGUGCACAGUGUUGGCGUCUAAUUAAAGCCAUCUCAAAGGAGGUAGAUUUAAAAAUGUCUCGUUCCAUGUUCUCCAAAUUGCCAGUUGCUCCUCCACAAAAUAAAAUGUCCAGAAGUGGCUUGAAAUUAGUACGUUAAUCGCUUUUGGAUUGUCUACCUAGUGGUGUGGCUCGGUAGGCACUUGUAUUGGAAAGAUGUUUUGUCUUGCUGAGUUCCACCCAUGAAGAGUAUGUGGGCGAAAUCUUCAUUGAUUUUUGUUGGGCAUUAAGGAUUCAUAGGACAUUGGAAAUAACUCUCAGCAAUAUGCAGGUUUAGGCUCUUAAUUAAUCAGCACUUCCCCUAGGGCUUCUAGAUAUAAUUGUAUAUUGUGGUAGUUGAAGACGGGUUGAAUUGCACAUAUCAAGCAUUGAAUUCAUAAACCGUAGUCAUAAAGAAGCUGUGCUUCAGUAGCUGGGUUUUAUUAAAUAUAGUAAAUAUGCUGGAAUAGCUGGGACAAUGGCUUGAUCCAGCACGCUCUUCUUCUGCUUUUAAGUUACAAUUAUGUUACAAAUGUUUUAAAAUGUUUUAAAUGGUUCUAAUUUGGGUUCCUCUGUUUCCUUUUUGUCAGGCUGGUGUUGGUUAAAUGUUUAAUUGGGGUUGGCGGUUACUUUAAUUUGGGUAUACAGUGGAACCUUGGGUUGCAAACGUGAUCUGUGCGGGAGGCACGUUCACAACCCACAGCGCUGCGUCUGCGCACACCUGGGUCGCGAUUCAGUGCUUCUGUGCUUGCGCAAAGUGUGAUUUAGCAUUUCUGCACAUGUGUGAGUGCCAGAACCAAGAGGUAACCCGUUUCAGUACUUCUGGGUUCGGUGCGGUGCGCAACCCAAAAACGCGUAACCUGAAGCGUUUGUAACCUGAGGUACCAAUGUAACUGUAAACUGUUGUUACUGUUCUUAUUGUUGUUGCUAUUGGUUUCUAUUGAUUUAUUGGUUUGUUGCUUGUAUAGGAUCUUUUGUUUUUAAUGUUUGAUGUUUGGUUUUUUAAAACAGUGGUACCUCGGCUUUUGAACGUAAUCCGUUCUGGAAGACAGUUCGAGUUCCGAAACGUUCAAAAACCAAAAACUCAAUACGGAAAACUCAAUAUGGAAGCCGCGUUUCCUGUUCAACUUUCGAAGCAUGUUCGAAAAACGAAGCAUUUACUUCCAGGUUUACAGCAUUUGAAAGCCGAAGUGUUCGUCAACGGAGACAUUCGAAAACUGAGGUACCACUGUAUAUGUUGCAAGCCGCCCAGAGUGUCUGGGGAAACCCAGCCAGAUGGGCGGGAUUUAAAUUAAAAUUUAUUUAUUUAUUAUUUUUACAAGUGUUAAUUCAUGGCAACAAUAUUGGGCACCAGUUGUUCCUGGCAGUGUAUUUUUCUUUCCAGACUGAUGCCGACUCUGCACAUGAUCCAGCCAAUGUUAAGCGCCUUCAAGCCAUUUUGCUUUUCAGUGCCAGAAAUUUAAGCACCUGUUUAGCUCUCCAACCAUUUGGAGUACUUGUCCAACUGGUACAUAGCUCAGAUUUGUGGGCCCUGAGCUGAUGUGUUCCUGAUGGUCCAGAGUACAUUUUUGAGGCAUGGCUUCCAAGUAUACCCAAGUUUUGCUUUUUUGCAAAAGCUCAUCUUUUAAGAAAGUUAAAUACUGGCUAAGAAUUUAGAUUUUACACAACAUGCAACUUUAUAUGAGCACUCUUUUAAAGAUACCAUAAAAUAAUUUGCUUGUCCUUGGUUUGCUUAGUGAUAAUAAUUAUUAUUUUAAUAAUAAUUUUAUUAUUUAUACUCCUCCUAUCUGGCUGGGUUUCCCCAGUCACUCUGUGGGCAGCUUCCAGUGACCAAUGCAUUCUGUACAUUUCAUUCAAAACCUGAAAGUAACACUGAAAUAGCUUGUCACAUAGCAGUAAACCUGUUUCUGGUCUGUGCUAUUGGAGAUUUUUCCUUCCUGUCUUCUGCAUGGUCUUUUCAGUUCUGUACGCUGAAAACUGAUGAACCUAAGUUAAACAUGCCCAUUAAUAUCAAUGGGCUUACUCCAAGUAUGAUUAACCUUGGAUAUAUCCCAGAGGCUUGAAUCUUUUACCUGGAAAAGUGGAGCGAAUUGCUUUAAUCUCUCUGCUUUCUUACAGGCCGGGCAGGGCAGAAUGGAGCACCUCUCCUUUUACUUGACACUUUAAUGAAGCAUCAGCUGAGAGGACAAAGGGCUUGCCCUGCCUGUAAAAUACCUGGAACAGACAAACCUGCAAGCAAGGUUUUCUGGAAUCCUGCCAUCAAAAACACGAUACCCUGGUUCAUCAGAGGUCGGAAUCUUUAAAUUUUAUAUGCAGUAUAUGAGGCUUCUGUUGUAGAUGGGUCAACCGUAGCAUAAAGAUAGUUUAAAUGAAGCAAAGAAAAUGUAAUCCAUGUGAACUGUACUGGCACUGGGCUGGAUAUUUUGUCUUAUUUUACUAUCAGUGCUUUGACUAAACAAUUUAGUCUUAGCAAUGGUGCAAUGCCAAUUUUAAAUGCCCAGCAGACUUUGGAUAUGAAUGCUCUUCUCGGCCCCAAAGAGAAAAAGCUUAAAACUGCCGUAACCGAUGAGUGUCUAGCAAAAUUAUAAGUAAUACAUUCUGUUAUCCAAAGUGAACUCAGGUUGAAGCUUUGCUUUGGGUAGCAAGGCAGAAUAUCACUGAAUGCCUGUUACCCGCACCACUCCUUGUUUGAUAAAUUUCUCUGUUCCCAUCAUAUUUGCUCUAGUAAUCAAAAUAAUAAAGUUUCCUUCUCUCUUCUACUUGGCUGGAUCCAAUUGGAGUUGCAACAUCUGAAUCAUUAAGUAGUAGCCAAAGUGAAAUAUGUUUAUAAGGCUUUUUUAUUAUUAUUCAGGUAUUAACUAAUGGAUGCACACCAUCAAGCCGCAUUAUCUUAUUUCUGCAGCAAAUUGUUUAGGGGGGCUAGGGUGCUUCAUGCUCAGCUCAGCAUUGACGGAAUGUAAUGCAAUUCAGAAUAAUGAAGAACCUGGAAUGGGAAGCAGAGUCACUUAGAAAUGUUACGGGAGAAGCAGCAAUGCUAAUGCGUGGCUUUUUCAUUUGCUUCCGAAAGGCAGCUGAGGGAGGAUAUAUCCUGAUGCGGCUCUAUUAAUGUAGAACAUUUUCUCUUGAUCUGUAACUACUUCUUAAAAAUAGAAAAAGGCAAAAUGGAAACUUCAACAGUUAUCGCAGAACACAAAGAGCCUCCAUUCAUCUUUUGAUAGAAGUAAUGAGCAGCAGGCAGCCGUUAGUCAUCCGCUGCAGAUUUCCAGUGGAGAGACUCUGAUAAUUUGAUUGCUCAUUUUGAAAUAGAAUUUCUCCCUCUGUCCCUGGAAGGUUUUUCUUUUCUGUGGCAGCUUUGAUAGGUAGUUGGUUUCACAGGAAGGAAAUGAAUAAUGACUCACAGAAGCCUCCUUGUCAGGCUUGCCAUGUUUCCAGUCUCCCCUAGAGUCAUCCAGAGAAUUAGAAGCCCAAACCUGCAUACCUGCAGGACACUAAGAAAGCAAAGAAGAAGGAGCUCAAUGUGCUCCACCUGAGUUACUUUCAGGCCUCGGAGUGGGGGUGGUUGGUCUCUAGUUUGUAGUAACAGAUGUAGCCUCAAGAAGCUGCAUAAGCCAGAAAUGUGAAACACCCCAAUGUUGUUGGCCUUACCCAAACUCCUCUGACUUCCCUUAAAACUACAGUGGUACCUUGGUUCUCAAACUUAAUCUGUUCCAGAAGUCCAUUCCAAAACCAAAGUGUUCCAAAACCAAGGUGCACUUUCCCAUAGAAUGUAAUGCACAACGGAUUAAUCCAUUCCAGACUUUUAAAAACAACCCCUAAAACAGCAAUUUAACAUGAAUUUUACUAUCUAACGAGACCAUUGAUCCAUAAAAUGAAAGCAAUAGUCAAUGUACUGUACUAUAAAAUAAAUAAGACAGUAUUGUAGAUGAUAAAAAAUAAAAUUAAUUCUUUUCCUUACCUGCACUGAUGAUAGUCAUUGUUUGGAUAUGGGGCUUUUAUCCACUUCUGCAGUCACACAAUCCAUCCAUCCAUCCAUCCAUCCAUCCAUCAAUCAGUAGCUGAACUGGGUUCCACACAAUCACAAAAACAAAUUAACCAGAAAAGCAAAAAAUGCAAAAUAAAUAGCAAAAACAAAAGCCCCAAACUUAAUACGUUCCAGAACUUCUGAAAUGUUCGAAAACCAAGGUGUGGCAUCUGAUUGGUGCAGGUGCCCCAGAAACAAUAGCCAACAGCCGCAUCGGAUGUUCGGCUUCCAAAAAUUGUUCAAAAACUAGAACACUUACUUCCAAGUUUUCUGCUUUUGGGAACCAAGGCGUUUGAAAGUCAAGGUACCACUGUACUCAAAAGCUUUUCCUAAGCAGGAAGCUCAAAACUCACCUCUUCCUCAAAUCCCACUUUGAGUAACAUUUUAGUGGCAAUCUACAGCAGCAUAACAUAGUUGCUCACAUGACUGAAACAUUGAAACUCCCUUGAGCAUGUUUCUAAAGGUAUUUAUAUUUUUUUGUUUCAGGUCAAAUUUAGUAGCAACUAUGAAGGCCACUGUCAUCACUUCCGACCAUCCCUUACAUAGAUACUUGGUCAGGAAAAGAGCAGUAACUUUGUGGUCAAACCCAUGUCCCAGAUUCCAUCUCUCU